RNAcentral lists this ribosomal RNA (696 nucleotides) under Enterobacter ludwigii. RNAcentral's name for it is "bacterial SSU rRNA". It matches the Rfam family "Bacterial small subunit ribosomal RNA", at positions 87 to 777 of the family's 1533-position model. The record is from RNAcentral. Lineage: Bacteria; Pseudomonadati; Pseudomonadota; Gammaproteobacteria; Enterobacterales; Enterobacteriaceae.
GGUGACGAGUGGCGGACGGGUGAGUAAUGUCUGGGAAACUGCCUGAUGGAGGGGGAUAACUACUGGAAACGGUAGCUAAUACCGCAUAACGUCGCAAGACCAAAGAGGGGGACCUUCGGGCCUCUUGCCAUCAGAUGUGCCCAGAUGGGAUUAGCUAGUAGGUGGGGUAAUGGCUCACCUAGGCGACGAUCCCUAGCUGGUCUGAGAGGAUGACCAGCCACACUGGAACUGAGACACGGUCCAGACUCCUACGGGAGGCAGCAGUGGGGAAUAUUGCACAAUGGGCGCAAGCCUGAUGCAGCCAUGCCGCGUGUAUGAAGAAGGCCUUCGGGUUGUAAAGUACUUUCAGCGGGGAGGAAGGUGUUGUGGUUAAUAACCGCAGCAAUUGACGUUACCCGCAGAAGAAGCACCGGCUAACUCCGUGCCAGCAGCCGCGGUAAUACGGAGGGUGCAAGCGUUAAUCGGAAUUACUGGGCGUAAAGCGCACGCAGGCGGUCUGUCAAGUCGGAUGUGAAAUCCCCGGGCUCAACCUGGGAACUGCAUUCGAAACUGGCAGGCUAGAGUCUUGUAGAGGGGGGUAGAAUUUCCAGGUGUAGCGGUGAAAUGCGUAGAGAUCUGGAGGAAUACCGGUGGCGAAGGCGGCCCCCUGUACAAAGACUGACGCUCAGGUGCGAAAGCGUGGGGAGCAAAACAGGA